GGAGCCUGCGGCUUAAUUUGACUCAACACGGGAAAUCUCACCAGGCCCGGACACCGGAAGGAUUGACAGAUUAACAGCUCUUUCUUGAUUCGGUGGGUGGUGGUGCAUGGCCGUUCUUAGUUGGUGGAGCGAUUUGUCUGGUUAAUUCCGRUAACGAACGAGACUCUAGCCUGCUAAAUAGGCGUCGUCAUUUAGGUGUGCGCGGCCGCAACUCACUGGCGACGUAUUAAAAUUCUUCUUAGAGGGACCGGCGGCUUCGAGCCGCACGAGAUUGAGCAAUAACAGGUCUGUGAUGCCCUUAGAUGUCCUGGGCCGCACGCGCGCUACACUGAAGGAAUCAGCAUGUUCUCCCUGGCCUAGAGGCCCGGGCAACCCGUUGAAACUCCUUCGUGCUGGGGAUUGGGGUUUGCAAUUGUCCCCCAUAAACGAGGAAUUCCUAGUAAGCGCGAGUCAUAAGCUCGCGUUGAUUACGUCCCUGCCCUUUGUACACACCGCCCGUCGCUACUACCGAUUGAAUGAUUUAGUGAGGUCUUCGGACCGACACGCGGUGGCUUCACGGCCGUCGGCGUUGCUGGGAAGUUGACCAAACUUGAUCAUUUAGAGGAAGUAAAAGUCGUAACAAGGUUUCCGUAGGU
This 635-nucleotide ribosomal RNA is filed under the name Siamusotima disrupta. RNAcentral's name for it is "SSU rRNA". It matches the Rfam family "Eukaryotic small subunit ribosomal RNA", at positions 1189 to 1830 of the family's 1831-position model. Lineage: Eukaryota; Metazoa; Arthropoda; Insecta; Lepidoptera; Crambidae. The record is from RNAcentral.